AGUGAACGCUGGCGGCAGGCCUAAUACAUGCAAGUCGAACGGCAGCACGGCAGAGCUUGCUCUGUGGGUGGCGAGUGGCGGACGGGUGAGGAAUACAUGGGAAUCUGCCCAGUCGUGGGGGAUAACGUAGGGAAACUUACGCUAAAUACCGCAUGCGCCCUUCGGGGAAAGCCGGGGACCGUUCGGGCCUGGCGCGAUUGGAUGAGCCCAUGUCGGAUUAGCUAGUUGGCGGGGUAAUGGCCCACCAAGGCGACGAUCCGUAGCUGGUCUGAGAGAUGAUCAGCCACACUGGAACUGAGACACGGUCCAGACUCCUACGGGAGGCAGCAGUAGGGAAUAUUGGACAAUGGGCGC
Molecule: ribosomal RNA, 354 nt
Filed under: uncultured bacterium
Lineage: Bacteria
Description: bacterial SSU rRNA
Rfam family: Bacterial small subunit ribosomal RNA
Source: RNAcentral